UGGCCUACGGGCGCAGCAGUGAGGAAUAUUGGUCAAUGGGCGCGAGCCUGAACCGGCCAAGUCGCGUGAGGGAAAACGGUCCUAUGGAUUGUAAACCUCUUUUGUCGGGGAGCAAUUGGGUCCACGCGUGGGCUUAGCGAGAGUACCUGAAGAAAAAGCAUCGGCUAACUCCGUGCCAGCAGCCGCGGUAAUACGGAGGAUGCGAGCGUUAUCCGGAUUUAUUGGGUUUAAAGGGUGCGUAGGCGGAAUAUCAAGUCAGCGGUAAAAAUUCGGGGCUCAACCCCGUCGUGCCGUUGAAACUGAUG
Molecule: ribosomal RNA, 305 nt
Filed under: uncultured bacterium
Lineage: Bacteria
Description: bacterial SSU rRNA
Rfam family: Bacterial small subunit ribosomal RNA
Source: RNAcentral